This is a long non-coding RNA of Cebus imitator (Panamanian white-faced capuchin), 1022 nucleotides long. RefSeq lists it as uncharacterized. The transcript has 2 exons. The record is from RefSeq and is a predicted model, not a curated record. NCBI's taxonomy places the organism in Eukaryota, Metazoa, Chordata, Mammalia, Primates, Cebidae.
GUGGUUCUGUAAUAAAGUACAGCAAAAAUACUACUCAUAAGCAGUGGCUCAAAAAGACCCCUGGCACUUUGUUGAACAUCCUUCAGAAUGCUGACCUCAGCUUGGCAUUUCAAACAUACACAAUAUAUAGACCAGGUUCGGAAGGGUUCUUGAAACGUCCCGUCUGAAGAAACAGAAGCAUCAGACAAUGUUGAUGGAGGUCAUGAUUCUGUCAUUUUGGAUCCAGAGUGACUUGAGCCUGGGCUAGAUGAGGAGGAUCACUUCUUUUGGAAGAACUAACAAUUUUUUCCCUUCAGUUGCGUUAUGGAACUCAUUUUUCAGAGGCUUAAAUGUUGUUAUGGUGGUGUUCCGCUUUGAAUUAAUCAACAGAUACUGUGGCCCUAAUGUAAAGGUUUAUGGUCCAAACUGUUUUUUCACAGGGACUUUGAGGAAGAAGAUGACAAUCCCGACCGGGUGUCAGAACUGAAGAAGCGAGCUGGAUGGCAAGGCCAGUGCGAUCCUGAGUCACACUGAGGAGAGGCUUCAAUAAGGAGUUCGUGUUGGGCUGAUAAUUAGUUAACACGAUGUAUAUAUUUUUUGGAAACAGAAUGAAGCGGAGGAAACGCUUAAUACUUAAAAUUGUUCUUGAUUAGUGGAGGAAAGUCUUAAUACUUAAAAUUGUUCUCGUGAGUUUGAAAAGUCUAAAACCCUUAAGUUUUGAACUCAAGGGAGAAGGUAUAGUAGAAUGAGUGUGAGCAUCAGGCUUUGCAGUCCUGUAGAACAGAAAGGGGCUGCUAGCCUGCCUCCACCUACUUGUGUAAUUGUGGGAAAUUACUUGACCUCUUUGAGCCCCAAUUUCCUUAACCAUAAAAUGAGGAUAAUAAUGCCUACCUCAGAGGGAUGCUGACCAUAGAUCAUUAUAGCACCCCGUAUGUUAUUAUUCACAUUAUGAUUUGUGUUUAUUAUUAUGUGACUCUUUUUACAUUUCCUAAAGGUUUGAGAAUAUAUUUAAUUAUGAUACAGUAAUGUGUGCAAUUUUUCAA